GACGAACGCUGGCGGCGUGCUUAACACAUGCAAGUCGAACGGAAAGGCCCUGCUUUUGUGGGGUGCUCGAGUGGCGAACGGGUGAGUAACACGUGAGUAACCUGCCCUUGACUUUGGGAUAACUUCAGGAAACUGGGGCUAAUACCGGAUAGGAUCUCCUGCUGCAUGGUGGGGGUUGGAAAGUUUCGGCGGUUGGGGAUGGACUCGCGGCUUAUCAGCUUGUUGGUGGGGUAGUGGCUUACCAAGGCUUUGACGGGUAGCCGGCCUGAGAGGGUGACCGGCCACAUUGGGACUGAGAUACGGACCAGACUCCUACGGGAGGCAGCAGUGGGGAAUAUUGCACAAUGGGCGGAAGCCUGAGGCAGCAACGCCGCGUGCGGGAUGACGGCCUUCGGGUUAUAAACCGCUUUCGCCUGUGACGAAGCGUGAGUGACGGUAAUGGGUAAAGAAGCACCGGCUAACUACGUG
Molecule: ribosomal RNA, 468 nt
Filed under: uncultured bacterium
Lineage: Bacteria
Description: partial 16S ribosomal RNA
Rfam family: Bacterial small subunit ribosomal RNA
Source: RNAcentral